Molecule: unclassified non-coding RNA, 271 nt
Filed under: Hevea brasiliensis (rubber tree)
Lineage: Eukaryota; Viridiplantae; Streptophyta; Magnoliopsida; Malpighiales; Euphorbiaceae
Source: RNAcentral
AUUCAACAAAACGCACGAUAACAAAGUUUGGACUGCACUUUUUCUGAUGAUUAUUUCAGCAGUUACUGGAGGAAUUACAGAUCUUUCUUUUCAUGCCAUUGGUUAUACAUGGCAGAUUAUUAAUUGUUUCUUGACAGCAUCAUAUUCUUUGACUCUUCGCAGGGUCAUGGACACGGCCAAGCAAGUGACUAAAUCGGGGAACCUUGAUGAAUUCUCCAUGGUCCUGUUAAAUAACACCCUUUCACUGCCUUUGGGCAUUUUGCUUAUAUUA